This 467-nucleotide ribosomal RNA is filed under the name uncultured bacterium. RNAcentral describes it as "partial 16S ribosomal RNA". It matches the Rfam family "Bacterial small subunit ribosomal RNA", at positions 28 to 507 of the family's 1533-position model. The record is from RNAcentral.
GACGAACGCUGGCGGCGUGCUUAACACAUGCAAGUCGAACGGAAAGGCCUCUUUCGGGGGGUACUCGAGUGGCGAACGGGUGAGUAACACGUGAGUAACCUGCCCUUGACUUUGGGAUAACUUCAGGAAACUGGGGCUAAUACCGGAUAGGAGCUCCUGCUGCAUGGUGGGGGUUGGAAAGUUUCGGCGGUUGGGGAUGGACUCGCGGCUUAUCAGCUUGUUGGUGGGGUAGUGGCUUACCAAGGCUUUGACGGGUAGCCGGCCUGAGAGGGUGACCGGCCACAUUGGGACUGAGAUACGGCCCAGACUCCUACGGGAGGCAGCAGUGGGGAAUAUUGCACAAUGGGUGGAAGCCUGAUGCAGCAACGCCGUGUGCGGGAUGACGGCCUUCAGGUUGUAAACCGCUUUCGCUCAUGACGAAGCUUUGUGUGACGGUAGUGGGUAAAGAAGCACCGGCUAACUACGUG